CCUUGAUCUAUUAUUGCCACAUUAGUGAAUUUAUUAACUGUUCUAUCUACAAUACUUGGGUUAAAUCCUCUUUCAACUGCUAUAUAUUUUAUCAGUAACAACUCAUUUUUUGAAAUCAUCUUGUU
This is a long non-coding RNA of Limulus polyphemus (Atlantic horseshoe crab), 125 nucleotides long. RefSeq lists it as uncharacterized. The transcript has 3 exons. The record is from RefSeq and is a predicted model, not a curated record. NCBI's taxonomy places the organism in Eukaryota, Metazoa, Arthropoda, Merostomata, Xiphosura, Limulidae.